GGUUUGAGGUGGCUGAGAUGUCCAGAGUGACCAAGGACUGGUGGGUUGAGGUGGCUGAGAUGGCCGGAGUGACCAAGGACUGGGGGUUUGAGGUGGCUGAGAUGGCCGGAGUGACCAAGGACUGGUGGCUGAGAUGGCCGGAGUGACCCAUGGUGGUGAUGACCAAGGCUCAGGACUGGGGCACCAGGAUGGGCUGGACAUCCGUGGUGGUCAAGGGUCAUCCUGGCCACUCAUCAUUGGCCAAAAAAGGUCACAGGUCACCCUGUGGUUGAGGUGACUGUGGUGGUCAAGAUGUCCAGAGUGACCAACAACCGGGACUAUCUUGGUCACCACUGGCCAAGGAGAAGGACAGCCUUGGUCAUGCUGACCAUGGUGGCCAACUCAACUGGGUUGACCAAGACAUGAGAGUGACCAAGGACCAGGUGUUAAAGAAGCCGGUGGGGGUGUCCAGAGUGGUCAGUUGUCCAUGGUGGCAUUUGGCCAGAGUGACCAGUGACCAGGAACUGGGAUGGUCAAAGCCAGGGAGAUGAAAGUGGCCAAGACACUGAGGGUGGCCGAGGGCCAAUGUCAGGGGGACCAGAGUGGUUGAGUGGCCAAGACAUCCAAGGUAGCAGAUGGUCAGUUUGACCAUGAGGUGGUCACCAUGGACCAGGGCACCAGGGAGGGACAGGGAGACCAUGACAGACAAGACCUCU
Serinus canaria (Common canary) is the source of this 695-nucleotide long non-coding RNA. RefSeq lists it as uncharacterized. The record is from RefSeq and is a predicted model, not a curated record. The transcript has 3 exons. NCBI's taxonomy places the organism in Eukaryota, Metazoa, Chordata, Aves, Passeriformes, Fringillidae.